RNAcentral lists this unclassified non-coding RNA (509 nucleotides) under uncultured Glomus. RNAcentral's name for it is "SSU rRNA". It matches the Rfam family "Eukaryotic small subunit ribosomal RNA", at positions 569 to 1083 of the family's 1831-position model. The record is from RNAcentral. Lineage: Eukaryota; Fungi; Glomeromycota; Glomeromycetes; Glomerales; Glomeraceae.
AGCAGCCGCGGUAAUUCCAGCUCCAAUAGCGUAUAUUAAAGUUGUUGCAGUUAAAAGCUCGUAGUUGAAUUUCGGGGUUAGUAGGUUGGUCAUGCCUCUGGUAUGUACUGGUCUCACUGAUUCCUCCUUCCUGAUGAGCCGUAAUGCCAUUAAUUUGGUGUUGCGGGGAAUUUGGACUGUUACUUUGAAAAAUUGAGUGUUUAAAGCAAGCUAACGCUUGAAUACAUUAGCAUGGAAUAAUGAAAUAGGACGUUCGAUCCUAUUUUGUUGGUUUCUAGGAUUGACGUAAUGAUUAAUAGGGAUAGUUGGGGGCAUUAGUAUUCAAUUGUCAGAGGUGAAAUUCUUGGAUUUAUUGAAGACUAACUACUGCGAAAGCAUUUGCCAAGGAUGUUUUCAUUAAUCAAGAACGAAAGUUAGGGAUCGAAGACGAUCAGAUACCGUCGUAGUCUUAACCAUAAACUAUGCCGACUAGGGAUCGGAUGAUGUUAAUUUUUAAUGUACUCAUUCGG